GAGGGCGAGCCUGAGGAGCAUGCCGCGUGGAGGAAGAAGGCCUAUGGGUUGUAAUCUCCUUUUCUCAGAGAAGAAGUUCUGACGGUAUCUGAGGAAUAAGCAUCGGCUAACUCCGUGCCACAGCCGCGGUAAUACGAUGCCACCAGCCGCGGUAUACGAGA
RNAcentral lists this ribosomal RNA (161 nucleotides) under uncultured cyanobacterium. Its description in RNAcentral is "partial 16S ribosomal RNA". The stretch from base 1 to 144 matches the Rfam family "Bacterial small subunit ribosomal RNA", at positions 371 to 539 of the family's 1533-position model. Lineage: Bacteria; Bacillati; Cyanobacteriota. The record is from RNAcentral.